GGUUCUUAGAUCUAGUACAUACCGCCCGUCACGCCACGGAAAUUAAUUAAGAUGGAAAUGGGGGCUAGCUGUCUAUAUUCGUAAAUUGAAUAUAGGAAAGUGGACUUGUGAAAUCGGAAUUGGUAACUGGGGCGAAGUCGUAACAUGGUAGUUGUAGGGGAACCUGCAGCUGGACUAUAUGAUAU
RNAcentral lists this non-coding RNA (185 nucleotides) under Hyaloperonospora arabidopsidis Emoy2. Its description in RNAcentral is "Bacterial small subunit ribosomal RNA". It matches the Rfam family "Bacterial small subunit ribosomal RNA", at positions 1369 to 1533 of the family's 1533-position model. The record is from Rfam by way of RNAcentral. Lineage: Eukaryota; Oomycota; Peronosporomycetes; Peronosporales; Peronosporaceae.